RNAcentral lists this transfer-messenger RNA (370 nucleotides) under uncultured Treponema sp. It matches the Rfam family "transfer-messenger RNA". From Rfam's summary of the family: Bacterial tmRNA, also known as 10Sa RNA or SsrA, is named for its dual tRNA and mRNA-like properties. Its role is to liberate the mRNA from a stalled ribosome. To accomplish this part of the tmRNA is used as a reading frame that ends in a translation stop signal. The record is from RNAcentral. Lineage: Bacteria; Pseudomonadati; Spirochaetota; Spirochaetia; Treponematales; Treponemataceae.
GGGGGUGCACCGGUUUCGACGGAUGCGGGAGCACAUUUAUUGCAUGUAGGUGUGAAGGCGCCUUAAGCUGACAAAAAAAAUAACUGCAAAACGUAGAGAAGAAGAAGAUUCUUCAAACGAACAGUUUGCUCUUGCUGCGUAAGUAGCGGGCACGGAACUCUGAGGGUGCUGUUCCUAACUUUUAGAUGUUCUGACGCUAACAGGAACUUGGUUUUUAGUGCUUCUAACCAUUAAAGACGACAUUUAGUUAGAAUAAGGAAAAGACGCUUGUUAUGCUGCUACCUUUUCCCGACAAAUACCUCGCAUAACUAAACAUGUAGAUAUAUUUGGGUUACGCACCCGGACGGGGGUUCAAUUCCCCCCAUCUCCA